GUGAGCCACCGCACCCGGCCCUAUUCUGCCAUCUCUGAAGGUUUUAGAAGGAAGAUAGACAAGGAUUGAAUAUAAAAUAGAUAUACCAUAGGUAACGUAUACCAGAAAGGUUCCUCCUUGUCCCUAAAUGUAGCUUAUGAGGGUAGAAAGUUUCCAGUUCCUCUCUACUUAUAUCCUAGAAAUUCUUCAAUAAAGGAAACCUUUAUAAAGGUGCUUCUGAAAAAUGUAAACACCUUGGAAUGACUUAUCAGGAGCCCAUCAUCAUGCUCAAGAAAGAUAAAUAUUAAGAAGGAAUAUAAAUGUAUAAAAACAUUAGACAGGAGAGAUGGGGCUUAGGGUCAACACAGAGGUCACCAGAAAAAGAGAAGAAAGAUAUAGGUACAGAGAGGGAGGUAAAAUAUGAAAGAAACUCCCUGUUACCUAACAACAUUCCCACAACAAGCCUGGAUAGUAUGCCAGAGAAUGAAAUAAAGGAGUACAAUUCAUGGACUUUAUGAUAGCUUUUUUCAGUUGAUGUGAAGAUCUGUGGACUUCCUUCCAGAAGGCAGAAGAUUACUGGCAUACUGCCAAGGCAAAGUCAUUGUACCUACACUAGUUUCUGCAAAUUGGAACAUAAUAAAUUCUCAAUGACCCAUGAUCUGAUUCUUAACAGGGACUAAUAAAGAAUAAGUAAAGAGUACUUUGUUGACAAGUUUUCCCUUACUUUCCUUUUCCACCAUUCUUACAUCUAGUCUGCCCUGUGCACCAAAGCACUUAUUUCUCCAUUGCAGGAGUUGUGAAGCAGAACCACAGGAAGGCAGCUCAACCAGGGGGAUCCUGUUGCUUACCUCCAGUACGUGAGGGGGUGGCAAGGACUCUGGCCCCACGGCAAGAAGACCAACCCUACUGAAGAAUUCUCUACAUAUGGACCAUGAUAUGCAGCUAGAAAUCACCAAGCAGAGAUGUUCCAAGUAUCAAUUUUGUGACAGGAGUAUUUAGAAGAGAAGCAUCAUGAUGCUUGCAUCUUACAUUCAAGUGGUUUGACAAAAACAUCGACAUUAAUUCCUUGAGUUUCUUUUCUACAAAAGCACUGGCUAUUAAUUCUGAAACAACUUUCUGUGUAUUCUAAAAAGGCUCAAAUAAAUACGUUGCAGAUAAAUGAAGCCACUUUUCUCACUGUUGAAGAAGAAAAUUACAGAUAUGAAAACAGACAGGGUCUGCUCUGUUGGCCAGGCUGGAGCGCAGUGUCACAAUGUCUACUCACUGCAGGCUCUACCUCCUGGGCUCAAGCGAUUCUCACACCUCAGCCUCAAGAAUGGCUCAGACUACAGGCAUGUACCUCUGU
Molecule: long non-coding RNA, 1324 nt
Filed under: Homo sapiens (human)
Lineage: Eukaryota; Metazoa; Chordata; Mammalia; Primates; Hominidae
Description: HSALNT0311975
Source: RNAcentral